GAUGAACGCUGGCGGCGUGCCUAAUACAUGCAAGUCGAGCGAACGGACGAGAAGCUUGCUUCUCUGAUGUUAGCGGCGGAGGGGUGAGUAACACGUGGAUAACCUACCUAUAAGACUGGGAUAACUUCGGGAAACCGUAGCUAAUACCGGAUAAUAUUUUGAACCGCAUGGUUCAAAAGUGAAAGACGGUCUUGCUGUCACUUAUAGAUGGAUCCGCGCUGCAUUAGCUAGUUGGUAAGGUAACGGCUUACCAAGGCAACGAUGCAUAGCCGACCUGAGAGGGUGAUCGGCCACCCUGGAACUGAGACACGGUCCAGACUCCUACGGGAGGCAGCAGUAGGGAAUCUUCCGCAAGGGGCGAAAGCCUGACGGAGCAACGCCGCGUGAGUGAUGAAGGUCUUCGGAUCGUAAAACUCUGUUAUUAGGGAAGAACAUAUGUGUAAGUAACUGUGCACAUCUUGACGGUACCUAAUCAGAAAGCCACGGCUAACUACGUG
This 497-nucleotide ribosomal RNA is filed under the name uncultured bacterium. RNAcentral's name for it is "partial 16S ribosomal RNA". It matches the Rfam family "Bacterial small subunit ribosomal RNA", at positions 28 to 507 of the family's 1533-position model. The record is from RNAcentral.